GGCCCGGUGGGUGAGUGCUCAGCCGGGAGCCUGCAAAGCUCCGUACGCUCGGUUCAACUCCGAGCCCGGGCCUCCA
RNAcentral lists this transfer RNA (76 nucleotides) under Methylobacterium sp. Its description in RNAcentral is "tRNA-Cys". RNAcentral also lists the same sequence under 1 other name. Lineage: Bacteria; Pseudomonadati; Pseudomonadota; Alphaproteobacteria; Hyphomicrobiales; Methylobacteriaceae. The record is from RNAcentral.